AUCGAAGUCUGAUUGGCUUUGUGCAUCCGUCGCUCACGGUUAGGCUCAAUAGCCUCUGCAAAAGGGAGGAGCUUGGGUGUCGGGCCCAGGAUACCGCCCCCAAAAGAAAUACCAUGGUGCGAUUGGUGGAAACAACAGGGGUAGAGAGCGGAGCGUAUCAGCGGUGAGGGGGGCAGGUACUUCCGCUAGGAUUGUCCAAUCACAGGGGUUUGGCAGUUGCUAUAAAAGUUCGAACCUCGCAGGUUCUCCUCCUCUCGGAUGAAGUACGACGUUGCGGUGUUUUAUUGUGCGGCUUCUGUGCUCCGCGGGCCGGGGGCGGACUUGGGCGCCGAGUGGAACUAAGGGCGUCGGCCAACCCCACAGGCCGGCCUAGCCUCGAGGUCCAACUUCGGCCUGAGGUUCACCUUGGUCCUCAGCGUUGUACACGUUGCCCCCAGUUCCGCCGAGGAAGUCCUAAACGUCCAGACCUACGUCUCUCUAGAGGGCCAUCGGUGACCCGGCUGGAGACCUUGAACGUAAGUCAGCAUCAGUCCAGGGGCCUCGUGGUAAGGCGGGAGUCCAUGUUUGUGUCUGAAGCGCUUAGUAAUAAAGCGAAGGUGGUGAGUGGAUGGGA
Equus caballus (horse) is the source of this 613-nucleotide long non-coding RNA. RefSeq lists it as uncharacterized. NCBI's taxonomy places the organism in Eukaryota, Metazoa, Chordata, Mammalia, Perissodactyla, Equidae. The record is from RefSeq and is a predicted model, not a curated record.